GUACCAGGGGUUAGGACUCCAGCAAGUCAUUUUUUAUUUGAACAUAUUAAUUAACCCACCACACUCACUCUGUCUGCCCAGCUCCUGCUAGAAGGGCACAGAUAAGCCAGGCAAGGAAUACGGGACUCUAACUCUCUUAUGGGACAGAGGUCCCUACCAAGAUGGCAACCUGAGAAGAUCAAGGGACACCAUCCCUCACUUUAGUGCCCACUUGAAAGAGGAUGUUGUUCCAGGAGAAGCGAGCUGACCUUCCCACCCCAGAUCUAGUGUAGCUCUGCAGAAACUUUGACCACAGGGAGAAAAAGACUUUAAGGAUGGAGAAUUCCAUAACUUUACCUGAGGGAACUGAGUUUAUUUGGAAAGGAGACUGGAGAAGUUGUCAAAAACAAUGGAAAUCUUGAUGGGCAGCAAUUAAGAGAUGCUGAUCACAACAAAUGAAAUGUGAAGGCCAGAAACAGAAUGAGGAUCCAGGGAAAGACACAGGCGAGAAUAGCUUUUCUAGGAUCACAGUCAUCUUUGGGGGCGGAAGGAGACUGUGUCCAUGGGUGGCACCCACUGGGAGAGAUCAGAGUGGAAAGCACAGCAGACUUGAAAAUAAUUCUGCGAACCCCACAUACUUCCAUCAGCAAAACACACCGGGCUGACUGCUCGUGGGCUUAAACAUGAACUCUGACCAGACAAUGACUGAGCAAAAAGCAACUCUGAUGCAAAGAGAUUCUUAGGAAUCAUACUCAUUUCCUAUUGGUCAGGAAGACUGUGGGUAGGGCAUGCCCAAGGCUGCUUGCUCUCCAGAGUGGCUGGAGAAAGGAGCUCUGAGAUCCAAACUCCUGAUCACACAUCCCGCAACAGUAUAAGCACCCUGUGCUGUGUGAAAACAGUCUCCAAGCCAAACACACAGUCCAAAGUGAAGGGCAAACCCUAACUAGCCCAGGGGUUUAAGACAACUUUUCACCAAUAAGUGGCUUACUUAAAUCCAAGCCAACACCAAGGAACAUAAGUAAUAAAAACAAACCAAGAAGGACAAUUCUGAGCAGGGACAUCAGAGCUACACACUGUGGGUGAAAAUAGACUUCAUAAAAUUAGUUCAUCCAAGUCACUAAAUAGAUAAACAUAGACUAUGAAAUUAGUUCAUCCAAGACAUAAAACAAAUGAACAAUUGACCAAACAGUAAUGUCAACAUUGAGCCUUAGAGGGAGAAGAAUUAUUAUCUAAAUUUGCUGCAAUUUAUCAUCUAAAAUGCUUGGUUCUCAACAAAAUAUUAUGAGAGUUACAAAAAAAGAGGAAAGUAUGAACCAUUUAUGGAGGGGUGGGAAGAAGCAGGCAACAGAAACUGCCUUUGAGGGUGGUCCAGAUGUUGCAAACAAGGACUUCAAAGCAGGUGUUAUAAGCAUGUUUAAAGUACUAAAUAAACCAUGUUUAAAUAAUUAAAAUAAGGUGUAGUAACAAUGACUCAGCAAGUAUCAAUAUGAAGACAGAAAUGAUGUUGAAAAAUCAUUUUGAAAAAAGGAACCAAAUUGAAAUUCUAGAAUUAAAAAGUUUAAUAACUGAAAUGAAAAAUCCACUAGUUUCUCAGCUCUAAAUUUGAGUUGGCUAAAGAAAAAAUGAUCAAAUUGAGAGAUUUGAUAAAUAGAGAUUAUUCAGUCUUAAGAAGAAAAGGCAUGGAGAAAAUUAGCAAAGCCUCAGAAGAAUACAGGACGCCAUUAAGUGAAUCAACAUAUGUAUAAUGACAACACCGAACAGAACAGAGAGAGACAGAAAUAAGAUUGGCAAUGGUUGAAAACUUUCCAAAUGUAAGGAAAAACAUCAAUCUAGACACCCAAAGAGCUCAAAAAGAUCCAACUAUACAGGCAAAGAGAGCCACACCUGGACAUAUUGUUGUUAAAAUACAGGAAGUCAAAUAGAGAAAAUUUUGAAAAAAAAUUUAAAAAAGACUCAUUGCAUAAAAAGGAACCACAAUAAAGAUGAAUAACUGACUUCUUAUCUGAAACUAUGGAGGCCAAAAGACAAUGGCAUAGUGUAUUCAACAUGCUGAAGGAAAAAGCAAACAAAAGUCUUAGAUAUGCAACAAAACUGUCCUUCAAAAAUCAAGGAGAGAUUUUAAAAAUUUCAAGAUUGGUUAAAACUAAAAGAAUUCAGACCUGCUUUACAAAAAGGAUUAAAAGACAUUCUUCAAGCUGAAAGGAAUUGAUCCAAGAUAAUAAUUCAAACACACACACACACUCACACACUCACACACUCAUGUGUGCAUGCACCAAGA
This 2257-nucleotide long non-coding RNA is filed under the name Marmota monax (woodchuck). The record is from RNAcentral. Lineage: Eukaryota; Metazoa; Chordata; Mammalia; Rodentia; Sciuridae.